GUGUUUUCUCUCUUUGGCUCAUCACUGGUCAUUGUGAAUGACAUUUCCCCUUCGUCUGUGCCCAGUGGCCUUACCUGUUAAAUCCGUCUCCUCCAGUGACUCCAAGGUCACUCCGGGACUUAGGUUCGAGCAAUCGUGACUGCGCCUUGCCUUAGGUUGUCCCAGGGUUUCGAGGUGGGAUCUUACCCGUCAUGGGCUGUCCAGCCUUCCAUGCCCGCCUACUACAGGAGCCAACUGGGCAAGGGUGUUAUCAGACCUAGGGGACACACUGGUUCUGGAAAUUAAAGGAGUGUAAACUGCUUUCUUUAUUAAACUUUCCAACAAUAAUUUCACAUGUAACAGUUUGUGUACGUGCAUUUUCAAUUCCUUAAUGUAAUUGUUAGUUCCUGUAUUUAUUUCUCUCAGUCUGUCUCUUUUCUAAACCCUGUAAUUAAUAUAAUUUUAUUACUUUAUUACUUUUUCUUAACACAUGCAUUCGCUUCAUCUUCUUAGAAUUUAACUCUGUCUAUUUCUCUGGGUGCUCCCCUGACAUCAUCAGUCACACACACCUUCCUCUCACACACACUUUUAAAUAGAGCUCUUCCAAACAUCAGGACAACUAACACUUCUCCACGGACAGGACCAUUCUUUAGUCAUUCAGUAAUCGUCUCACACACUGCCUUUUCUCUCUCAAACUGCCAUUUUCCACUCACUCAGACAAAUCAUGCAGAGUCACUCAAAUCAAAUACUGACAGCCUUCACACAGUUAAAAUCACGCAAAAUACGCUUUCAUACGAGUAUUUUGGACAUGCCUUCCAUGAUCAGAAAGAGCAAGUCAAAAGAAAAAAGAAAAAGAAAACUGAAACCUCUCAUCGUCUCACCGCUUCUCCCCACACACACAUAACUGAAAAUAAAACACACCAACCUUUAUGGCUCACGAAAUAUACAUCUAUCAAAAUUCAGUCAUUUACUAUACAUCCACACUAAUAUAUUCACACUGUAUUUACACUCUCAUAAUAAUCAAAACCAACUUCUUAUAUACAGGCAUUUAGCAAAAAGCUCAGUCCUCUCGAAAACUGAAACCACCCUCUCUGCGCGUCACUGCUGCUCAUUUGCAUUUACACACACCAUCAGUGCACAUCCGGCUGUGCAUGACUGACACAGAGACUGAUCUUACUCAUAGAUCUCAUAUUUUAUAUUACAGACGUCUUAUUAAUUACAACUGCACAGAUUUUUUUAGGCCUUGUCGCUCCUACAAAUUUCGAAAAUUUUCCAUAACCGACUCGAACGGGCAAACCUUCAGGUUUUUAUGACCAAUUUAACAGACCAGACUCGAACUGCUCUGUCCAGAUUUCUAGCCCUAACUUACUUUACCGGUAGCCAAAAAGCGCAAGAAUAGGGGACUUGAACCCCUAGCUUAUCUCAGGAUGCCCUGUACCCCACGGUCAAGCCAAACCGAGCUAACCCUACUCGCCGGUAGGUCAACAAUGCGCGUCCGCAUCGAGGAGGGAUCGCAACGUCCGGGCUAUGCGCUUCUUAACAGCGCCGCUGUCGUCCUAGACAAAUUUAGAAUAAUUUGAAACAACAAUCUACACCCAACACAGGAUUAAGAUUGAGGACCACCCUCAACAGUUUUAGAGAUUCCCCAGUCCUCUUCGGAUGUUGCCCGAAACUAUCCCUAGUCAUCGCUAGGUGAAGGAUAGAUUUCUCUAUCCAGCAGGGAGCGUCACCUCCGAGAAAGUUCUUAAGGGUUGCAUAACCAAUGGGACUUGAACCCACACAAUGACCAAAUUCCCUAUCAUUCUAAAAGUUCACUUCGCAGUCCAACUGCUUUAAUUCUCUUUUCAUUCCUUUAUUCUCAUUACUCAGUACUGUCACUUAUACUUCCUUAUCAUUAUCAUUACUUCAACCUUCAACUUUUCACCAAAAUCAAAGCAGACAUCUACCAGUAGUUUCAGUGAGUAGACUUUCAAUUUACACAGCCCAAUUUGACACACUUUGGUUCAUAAGAUCAACAGGUGGUGCCUACCUUUUUGUUAUAUGCCGGCUUGUCACUCACUUUGACCACUGACCAAUGCCUGAGCGCCUGACGCCUCGGACCUUUCUCCAUCCUGUCUCACUUCCCCCCUCGGACGAAGCCCCCAAAUGUUAAGGUUCAAAAAUAUAGGGAAGGAAACACAGGAGGAAUGCAAGUAACCACACUGGUCCAAAGGGUAAAGACGAUGAUUUUAAUGAAAUGA
Oreochromis aureus is the source of this 2219-nucleotide long non-coding RNA. The record is from Ensembl. NCBI's taxonomy places the organism in Eukaryota, Metazoa, Chordata, Actinopteri, Cichliformes, Cichlidae.